UUCCUUUCGGGUAGUGAACAGCGCCGCUCAGAUCCUGCCUUCAUUCUAUCGUCACUUCUGGAAGUGAACAGGACCGGACAUCAACUACAGGUUUAUUUCUUCUCCCAAUCGACACUACGAGGCCAUGACGAGGCGCAAUACCGGCGCCUGCCUGGCGCCACUCUUGCUGCUGGCCACGCUGGGAGGCGCCUCUGUGCCCACUGGCCUGGACAUGAAGC
Long non-coding RNA from Pollicipes pollicipes, 218 nucleotides. RefSeq lists it as uncharacterized. NCBI's taxonomy places the organism in Eukaryota, Metazoa, Arthropoda, Thecostraca, Pollicipedomorpha, Pollicipedidae. The record is from RefSeq and is a predicted model, not a curated record. The transcript has 3 exons.